This 151-nucleotide ribosomal RNA is filed under the name Leucocoprinus purpureolilacinus. RNAcentral's name for it is "Leucoagaricus purpureolilacinus partial 28S ribosomal RNA". It matches the Rfam family "Eukaryotic large subunit ribosomal RNA", at positions 1 to 150 of the family's 3401-position model. The record is from RNAcentral. Lineage: Eukaryota; Fungi; Basidiomycota; Agaricomycetes; Agaricales; Agaricaceae.
UGACCUCAAAUCAGGUAGGACUACCCGCUGAACUUAAGCAUAUCAAUAAGCGGAGGAAAAGAAACUAACAAGGAUUCCCCUAGUAACUGCGAGUGAAGCGGGAAAAGCUCAAAUUUAAAAUCUGGCAGUCUCUGGCUGUCCGAGUGUAAUC